Molecule: transfer RNA, 74 nt
Filed under: Eragrostis curvula (weeping love grass)
Lineage: Eukaryota; Viridiplantae; Streptophyta; Magnoliopsida; Poales; Poaceae
Description: tRNA tRNA-Val
Rfam family: tRNA
About the family: Transfer RNA (tRNA) molecules are approximately 80 nucleotides in length.
Source: Rfam by way of RNAcentral
GUCUGGGUGGUGUAGUUGGUUAUCACGUUAGUCUCACACACUAAAGGUCCCCAGUCCGAGCCUGGGCUCAGACA